This 69-nucleotide transfer RNA is filed under the name Cucujoidea sp. 5 KM-2017. RNAcentral's name for it is "tRNA-Gln". The record is from RNAcentral. Lineage: Eukaryota; Metazoa; Arthropoda; Insecta; Coleoptera.
UAUAGUUUAGUAUAAGAUGUACAUAAAUUUUUGAAAUUUAAAGUGAUAAUUUAAAUUUAUCUUCUAUAA